UUUGUUUUACACAUUCAAUUCCUGCCGGAAUAGGAAUAUUUGUAUAUAAACUGUUAACAUCCAUCGAAAAAAACCAAAAGUCCGAGGUUAUUGUAACGUCUUUUACCAUCUCUAUAAAAUGGUAUGUGUCUCUCACAUAGGAUGGAUGUUUGAUCGAAAGUGGAUUUAGAUAAUGAUCCAAAUAUUCUGCGGUGAAAUAUGUAUCACUCCCACAGUCUGAUACUAUGGGUCUCCCUGGGGGAAUUUCAAAUGGAAUUGUCCAUUUCUCCGGACUUUUAUGAAUUUUUGGGAGAAUAUAAAAUCUCCUCUCUCUUGGUUCUGAGGUUCCAAGUAGGUACUGUUUUUGUUUUCCAUUGAUAAAUUUUUUCUUUUUUAGAUUGUUUAUAAUUUCCUUUAUUUUUGGUAGUGUUUCUCUAUAAAUGGGUUUUUCCAAUUUUUUGUAAUAUUCUGUGUCAUUCAAUUGUCUUUCUACUUCCAUUAUAUAUUGUUCUCUACUUAGAAUCACUACUGACGAGCCUUUAUCAGCCGGUUUAAUGACUAUAUGUUUUGUAUGCAUUAAUUCUCGUAAGGCUUUUACUUCUUCUACAGACAUAUUGUAUUUUUCAGUAGUCGGUAAGUAGUGUUUUUUUAUUGUCUGCCAAUCUUUUUGUAUUAAUUGUCCCACUUCUGGUGGUAAUUUAUCCAUAGGUGGUUUCCAAUCAGAAGAGCCUGUAAAUGGUGGUCUCUCCUUACCCAUCGAAUCCUUAAAGACUUAGAGGCUGACCAAGUUUAAAGUCUUCCCCCAGUGGUCAAGCAUAGCGGUCGCCGUUUCUUUUGUCCAGUGGAUUCCAUCCUCCUCCACCUGGAAUUGGUCCUCAGAUCUUCUGGUGGUACCGUUUUCUCCAUCAGUUGGGAUUGUGGUGGUAUGAUGCGAGUGGAGGACUCCGGGAGAACCUCCUCCUCUUCUACCUCUUCAUCUGCCCGCCAUUGGUUCAAUACCUGGGUAUUGUUUCGUCAACAGGUUCCAUUUGAGGUCUCACAAUGAGAUCCUCUUCCACGCCACCUUGGAG
Long non-coding RNA from Phyllopteryx taeniolatus (common seadragon), 1049 nucleotides. RefSeq lists it as uncharacterized. The transcript is spliced from 5 exons. NCBI's taxonomy places the organism in Eukaryota, Metazoa, Chordata, Actinopteri, Syngnathiformes, Syngnathidae. The record is from RefSeq and is a predicted model, not a curated record.